AGCAUAUCAAUAAGCGGAGGAAAAGAAACUAACAAGGAUUCCCCUAGUAACGGCGAGUGAAGCGGGAAAAGCUCAAAUUUGUAAUCUGGCGCCUUCGGCGUCCGAGUUGUAAUCUCGAGAAGUAUUUUCCGCGCUGGACCGCACAUAAGUCUGUUGGAAUACAGCGUCAUAGUGGUGAGAACCCCGUAUAUGGUGCGGAUGCCCAGUGCUUUGUGAUAUACUUUCGAAGAGUCGAGUUGUUUGGGAAUGCAGCUCAAAUUGGGUGGUAAAUUCCAUCUAAAGCUAAAUAUUGGCGAGAGACCGAUAGCGAACAAGUACCGUGAGGGAAAGAUGAAAAGCACUUUGGAAAGAGAGUUAACAGUACGUGAAAUUGUUGGAAGGGAAACGCUUGAAGUCAGACUUGCAUUUUGGAGUUCAGCCGCAAGGUGUAUUCUUCAAUUCGCAGGCCAGCAUCAGUUUUCGGGGGUGGAAAAUCGCGGUUUGAAGGUAGCAGUCUCGGCUGUGUUAUAGCUUUCCGCUGGAUUCACUUUUGGGGACUGAGGAACGCAGUACGCUUUUUGCAAGAUUCUAGAGUCUUUCGUACUUANGAUGCUGGUGGAAUGGCUUUAAACGACCCGUCUU
Molecule: ribosomal RNA, 621 nt
Filed under: Microbotryum holostei
Lineage: Eukaryota; Fungi; Basidiomycota; Microbotryomycetes; Microbotryales; Microbotryaceae
Description: LSU rRNA
Rfam family: Eukaryotic large subunit ribosomal RNA
Source: RNAcentral